This 497-nucleotide ribosomal RNA is filed under the name uncultured bacterium. RNAcentral describes it as "partial 16S ribosomal RNA". It matches the Rfam family "Bacterial small subunit ribosomal RNA", at positions 28 to 507 of the family's 1533-position model. The record is from RNAcentral.
GAUGAACGCUGGCGGCGUGCCUAAUACAUGCAAGUCGAGCGAACGGACGAGAAGCUUGCUUCUCUGAUGUUAGCGGCGGACGGGUGAGUAACACGUGGAUAACCUACCUAUAAGACUGGGAUAACUUCGGGAAACCGGAGCUAAUACCGGAUAAUAUUUUGAACCGCAUGGUUCAAAAGUGAAAGACGGCCUUGCUGUCACUUAUAGAUGGAUCCGCGCUGCAUUAGCUAGUUGGUAAGGUAACGGCUUACCAAGGCAACGAUGCAUAGCCGACCUGAGAGGGUGAUCGGCCACACUGGAACUGAGACACGGUCCAGACUCCUACGGGAGGCAGCAGUAGGGAAUCUUCCGCAAUGGGCGAAAGCCUGACGGAGCAACGCCGCGUGAGUGAUGAAGGUCUUCGGAUCGUAAAACUCUGUUAUUAGGGAAGAACAUAUGUGUAAGUAAAUGUGCACAUCUUGACGGUACCUAAUCAGAAAGCCACGGCUAACUACGUG